UCAGCCGCCGCGGUAAAACCAGCACCUCGAGUGGUCAGGAGGUUUAUUGGGCCUAAAGCAUCCGUAGCCGGUCGCAUAAGUUUUCGGUUAAAUCUAUGCGCUUAACGUAUAGGCCGCCGAAAAUACUGUGCAGCUAGGGAGCGGGAGAGGUACACGGUACUCGAUAGGAAGGGGUAAAAUCCUUUGAUCUAUUGAUGACCACCUGUGGCGAAGGCGGUGUACCAGAACACGUUCGACGGUGAGGGAUGAAAGCUGGGGGAGCAAACCGGAUUAGAUACCCGGGUAGUCCCAGCUGUAAACGAUGCAGACUCGGUGAUGCAUUGGCUUGUGGCCAAUACAGUGCCGCAGGGAAGCCGUUAAGUCUGCCGCCUGAGAAGUACGUACGCAAGUAUGAAACUUAAAGGAAUUGGCGGGGGAGCACA
This 422-nucleotide ribosomal RNA is filed under the name uncultured archaeon. RNAcentral's name for it is "bacterial SSU rRNA". It matches the Rfam family "Archaeal small subunit ribosomal RNA", at positions 458 to 880 of the family's 1478-position model. The record is from RNAcentral.